CACACACACUGACAAACAAACUGACCACGCUAUAGUGUCGCGAGACGGUCGUCUACAUCGACUGGAGCUACUCUAUGACAAAGCAGACAGUGGAAAUCAACAUAGCAACAUGUCACAGACACCGGAAAUGCGAAACGUAACAAGGCAUGAGAGUGAAGAGAGAGCAGCUGGGGCCACAUAUUGUGCAAGCAUGAAGGAGCUGUUACAGAGGUCAGACUUGGUCAUGGUGCUGGUCAAUCUGUCCCCUCAGACGCACAACUGAUUGGUGCCAAACAGUUUGCCAUAAUGAAACCCAAUAGCACCUUUAUCAACAUUAGCAGAGGAACCCACACCGUGGAGACCGCACAGAUCACAGUGGAUGACCAAUGCCUUGGCCGUUGUAACUGGAGACCAGCUUCCUGAUGAAGUCAAGGCAUAGAGCCAGAACACAGAGCCAUCUGUUCCUCUUUUGUUUUUAACCAGCAAAACAUAGAAAUACUAAUAGAUUUAGUAAUCUUUUUCAUUUGUUUUGUGGUUUGUGCAUAUGAGCUAUCUUUUAAAUUCUUUGUGUAUGUUAAUUCAAUAGCCUAAAGGAUAUUAAAGGAUGUGUUUGUUAGAUUGAACAGUACAGU
Molecule: long non-coding RNA, 611 nt
Organism: Carassius carassius (crucian carp)
Lineage: Eukaryota; Metazoa; Chordata; Actinopteri; Cypriniformes; Cyprinidae
Exons: 3
Source: RefSeq, a predicted model, not a curated record